GAGUUUGAUCAUGGCUCAGAUUGAACGCUGGCGGCGUGCUUAACACAUGCAAGUCGAGCGGUAACAGGCGUAGCAAUACGUGCUGACGAGCGGCGAACGGGUGAGUAAUGCUUCGGAAUCUUCCUCGUAGUGGGGAAUAACCUGGGGAAACUCAGGCUAAUACCGCAUACGAACUACGGUUGAAAGCAGGGGAUCGCAAGACCUUGCGCUAUGAGAUGAGCCGAAGUCGGAUUAGCUAGUUGGUGAGGUAAAGGCUCACCAAGGCGACGAUCCGUAGCUGGUCUGAGAGGACGACCAGCCACACUGGGACUGAGACACGGCCCAGACUCCUACGGGAGGCAGCAGUGGGGAAUUUUGGACAAUGGGGGCAACCCUGAUCCAGCCAUGCCGCGUGAGUGAAGAAGGCC
RNAcentral lists this ribosomal RNA (407 nucleotides) under uncultured beta proteobacterium. Its description in RNAcentral is "bacterial SSU rRNA". It matches the Rfam family "Bacterial small subunit ribosomal RNA", at positions 9 to 416 of the family's 1533-position model. The record is from RNAcentral. Lineage: Bacteria; Pseudomonadati; Pseudomonadota; Betaproteobacteria.